ACACUGCACAGCCUGCCAGAGAGACUGAGAGAGCGAGAGAGAGAAAGAUCGCGCAGAGAAUAAGCUUAGACAGUAAGCUCUGCAACAGUUUCCGUACGUGCAGACACAAUCAAAGAGAGUCCAACUAGCCAGCUCCUAUCCAUAAAUAAAACUUACUUGAGCUUUGAGAGAAUCAGCUUAAACAACCAGGCAGCGCAGCUGACGCAUUGCAAUCUACAUGGGUCUGCGUCUGCGAGGCUGGGGGCAGCUUGAGUCAGACUUUGAGGAGUUACUCAUGCUCAUACAGCUGUUAUGAUCGUUUUUGGAAGGAAAG
This is a long non-coding RNA of Drosophila pseudoobscura, 313 nucleotides long. RefSeq lists it as uncharacterized. Lineage: Eukaryota; Metazoa; Arthropoda; Insecta; Diptera; Drosophilidae. The record is from RefSeq and is a predicted model, not a curated record. The transcript has 2 exons.